Molecule: unclassified non-coding RNA, 518 nt
Filed under: Hevea brasiliensis (rubber tree)
Lineage: Eukaryota; Viridiplantae; Streptophyta; Magnoliopsida; Malpighiales; Euphorbiaceae
Source: RNAcentral
GAUGCUACGACCUUUGUUUCACAUACAUUACUUAGAGGUCGAAAGAAUCUUUGGCAACUUACAACAAGUCGUGCAGCUGUCUUGCUUUCUUCACCGGCUAUUCAUUCAGCUAGCAUCCAUCAAUUCUUAACAACUUAUGAAGAUUUAAACAUUUUUGUGCUGGCUGGGGAAGCUUUUUGUGGAAGUGAAGCAGUUGAGUUCAGGCAGAAAGUGAAAUCUGUUUGUGAAAGUUAUUUAGCUGCUUUCCAUCGGCAAAAUAUAUAUGCUCUCAAGAUGGUGCUGGAAAGGGAGCAUUGGCUGAUAUUGCCGCCAGAGACGAUCGAAGUAGUAAGCUUCGCUGGGCUUGUCGGUGAUGGAGCAGCUUUGAUAGUUUCAUCUGAGACCUCUCCGAAUACUCGACUGCUGCAAGAACGCAAGCCUGUACAUCCUAUCCAAACUAAAUCCUCUAAGAGAAAUGGAUUUUCAAGUUGGCUUAAGGGUGGAAAUCCAUUUCUGCCAAAACUAAAUGGUAGUUCCAG